AAACCUUUUCUCCAUUUCUCUCUGCUCAUACCACAAAUUUCUUCAAAUCUUCCAAUUCUCUAUGCUCGUUCCAUAAAAUGUGAGCCACAUUUUGGAGACCCAAAAACUCUAACUAGAAAUUGUGACUCCAUCAGGAAUCUGAGUUCUCUAAAGUUGAAGGAGGAAGGAAGAGAGUUCAAAGUCUGAAUAUUCACUGUAAGGGUAACCCGUUUAAAGGUUUUGAAGGUUUGAAGCUUGAAAUCACUUUGAGGGUAAGUUGUUCAUGUUUAUCGACUCUCAUCACUAAGUUUUGCUUUUCGUAUUUUGUCGAUUCUUGGUCUUGAUAGUAGUUUUUGUGUUAACCCAUAACUAAAAGUUUCUUUUUGAAAUUUUAGACCUUUUGAUGUUGCUGUUGUUAUUGUGAUUUCAUGUUCAUAUUACAUUGGGUAGCUUAAAUUGGGUGAUUUAUGCAGAGAAAGGGGGUUAAUUUAGGUUAAAUUUACUUGAUUUUGAAGUAUUGAGUACAUUUUUUCUUGAAAGAGAGAUGAGUAAAGCUAAUUCAGUGAUUUAUGCAGAGAAAAGAGCUUUAUUUAGGUUAAAUUUACAUGGGUUUUGAAGUAUUGAGUACGUUUUUUCUUGAAAGAGAGAUGAGUAAAGCUAAUUCAGUGAUUUAAAGGUGAAUCUUGAAGCAAAGAAUCAAACACCUGAUGUGAGUAUGUGAAUUCUUAAUUGUUGUUUAUUAAAAUUAUGAUUUUGGUUGAACUAAUACCACCUGAUGUGAGUCUUGUUAUGAAUAAUGAUUUUGCUUGAGUUUGGUUGUUAAGAAUUCUCUCUUUCCCUUUAUUUGGUCAUGCUAAAAACUUCAAGAUUCCAGCUUUGUUUCCUUCAGAAAAAAUGCAAAGUGAGUUAAACGUAGAAUCUUGGAUGAAAUUUGUUUUUUUUUUUUUUUUGCUUCACUUUUAGCUUGGAUUGUUUGUUGGUUGGAUGAUUGAUUGAGUUUGGUUAGUAAAGUUUAUGUCUUUUGUGAUUUCUGACCUUUUUGUGGCCAUUUCUGUUUUGUGAGGAAAGAUGGGAAUAGCAGUAUAUGACUUCUUGAUUUUUGUUGUUAUGAAUACUAAUUUUGCUUAGUUUGAUUGUUAAGAAUUAUAUCUUUCCCUUUAUUGUUCAUGCUCAAAACUUCAAGAUUCUAGUUAAGGUGAGUUAAAGGUUUUUUUUUUGCUCCAACUAUACCCCUCUCUCUUUCAAGAAAAAAUAUACUCAAUACUUCAAAAUCCAUGUAAAUUUAACCUAAAUUAAGCUCUUUUCUCUUCAUAAAUCACUGAAUUAGCUUUACCCGUCUCUCUUUCAAGAUGGUGUAAUUCUUCAUUACAUAUUUAAGGAUCAAAAUUGCUUAGUCCUUAGUUCUGAUUUUGGACAAGAAUUUUACAGGUGAUUCACUGUUUGAAUGGAUAAGUUAAUUCAAAUUUAUCUUUAAAUCUAGUUGAAUCUAAACCAAUAGAUAUAAAAACUAGGUAUGGAGGCAAAAUCACAAUAAACAUUCCAUAUGACAUUGAUAGAGCUGUGGGUCUUGGGGCUAGAGAUAUUGUUAAUUACUGUGGUUUGACCAUGAGAAGCAUUAUCUCGUUCCGAGAGGGGAAGUGGCAAAAGAUUGUUUUGAAAUACAGAGAAGCAGUGUGGUUGAGGGUCAAGAGAAAAUUUGAAGUUUGUGGUGGACUGCGAGAGCAUAAGUUGCAAGGCUUUGUGAUAAGUAGUAUGCAAAGGCUUUUUAGAGCAUGGAAAGCUCGAUUGCACACUGACUACCUCCGUUAUGCUACUGAUGAAGAGAUAUUGUCUCAUCAACCUGAGGAUUUUUAGUUUGGAGGACUGGAAAUACCUAGUAAGGUAUUUUGGAAGUGAAGAAUUCAAGAUUGUCAGUGAAAGAAACAAAAGAAAUAGGGAAAAGCAAAUAACUAAGCAUUCUUGUGGUACAAAGUCUUUUGCAGAAGUAGAGGAAUCUAUGCUCCAUCAACUUGAUGUUGAACAACAAUCUGAAGAGGUCGAGAAUCCCAUGACUAGAGAAUAGAUGUAUUCAUCCAUUCUUAGUGAGAGACCGGGCUAUGUGCGUGGUUUUGGAUAUGGAAAGAAGCCUCCCAGAAAGACUCAAAUGCAGCAAGCGAACAUAGAGCCCAGCGUAUCUUUUGCAAUGGAAGUUAUGCGGCAAGAGAUGCAAGCCGAUAUAGACCGAAAGUUGCAAGAAGAACUUAACCGGAAGUUGCAAGAAGAACAUGAACAAAUGGCUAUCGACUUAAAAAGGGAUAUGGAACAAGAUUCUCAAAACAAAUUGAAAGAGGAGCGUGCACACAUGAAAGGAGAAUUUGACAAGAUGCUCCAAGAACAAAUAGCUGCUUUCAUGCCUAGAAUGCAACAGGUACUUGCUCUUGCUCUUGCUCUUGCUAUUGAGGAGUAUUUUUAUUAAUCAACAACUUUGAUUUG
This is a long non-coding RNA of Lycium barbarum (goji berry), 2451 nucleotides long. RefSeq lists it as uncharacterized. Lineage: Eukaryota; Viridiplantae; Streptophyta; Magnoliopsida; Solanales; Solanaceae. The transcript has 5 exons. The record is from RefSeq and is a predicted model, not a curated record.